GUAUCCUAACCGUGCGAAGGUAGCGUAAUCCACUUGUUCUUUAAAUGAGGACUAGUAUGAAUGGCCCCACGAGGGCUGCACUGUCUCCUUUUUCUAAUCAAUGAAACUAAUCUCCCCGUGAAGAAGCGGGAAUUAUCCUAUAAGACGAGAAGACCCUAUGGAGCUUUAAACAAUUGAAACAUUUGCUUUUCUCCUAACUCCUCCCGAGCCCUUUAUUUUUAUUUAAGCAUUAUUAUUUCUAGUUUUAGGUUGGGGUGACCACGGAGCAAAACUAAACCUCCAUGAAGAAAUGAAUAUUUUUAAGCCACAAACUACUUUUUUAAGCAUCAACAAAUUGACCUUCAUUGACCCAAUAUAUUGAUCAACGAACCAAGUUACCCUAGGGAUAACAGCGCAAUCUACUUCAAGAGCUCAUAUCGACAAGUAGGUUUACGACCUCGAUGUUGGAUCAGGGUAUCCUAGUGGG
This 466-nucleotide ribosomal RNA is filed under the name Ameerega trivittata (three-striped poison frog). RNAcentral describes it as "partial 16S ribosomal RNA". It matches the Rfam family "Bacterial large subunit ribosomal RNA", at positions 1936 to 2554 of the family's 2925-position model. Lineage: Eukaryota; Metazoa; Chordata; Amphibia; Anura; Dendrobatidae. The record is from RNAcentral.